Molecule: long non-coding RNA, 204 nt
Filed under: Malus domestica (apple)
Lineage: Eukaryota; Viridiplantae; Streptophyta; Magnoliopsida; Rosales; Rosaceae
Description: long non-coding RNA (MDOM_LNC005655)
Source: RNAcentral
GGCAACUAAGUGAGAGUGAGAGCAAGAGUAGUCUUGUAGGAGUGUGAGUGAUCUAGAGUGUGUCUCUAGAAAGUGAGUGAGUGUCAUUGCUUCUAAAGUUGUGUCCUUGUGAGUGUUGUAAUAUUUUGUGUGUGUAAUACAAGUAAUUUGUUUACUUGUGUUGUCUUUCCAACACUUGUGUUAGAGUUGUGUACUCUAAGUUUU